UGAGGUGUAGCUCACUUGGUAGAGUACUUGUCUCCAAAGCACAAGGCCAUGGGUUCAAUCCCCAGCACCAAAA
This 73-nucleotide transfer RNA is filed under the name Ictidomys tridecemlineatus (thirteen-lined ground squirrel). Its description in RNAcentral is "Spermophilus tridecemlineatus (thirteen-lined ground squirrel) tRNA". It matches the Rfam family "tRNA". Rfam says of the family: Transfer RNA (tRNA) molecules are approximately 80 nucleotides in length. Their secondary structure includes four short double-helical elements and three loops (D, anti-codon, and T loops). Further hydrogen bonds mediate the characteristic L-shaped molecular structure. tRNAs have two regions of fundamental functional importance: the anti-codon, which is responsible for specific mRNA codon recognition, and the 3' end, to which the tRNAs corresponding amino acid is attached (by aminoacyl-tRNA synthetases). tRNAs cope with the degeneracy of the genetic code in two manners: having more than one tRNA (with a specific anti-codon) for a particular amino acid; and 'wobble' base-pairing, i.e. permitting non-standard base-pairing at the 3rd anti-codon position. Lineage: Eukaryota; Metazoa; Chordata; Mammalia; Rodentia; Sciuridae. The record is from Rfam by way of RNAcentral.